GCCCAGACUCCUACGGGAGGCAGCAGUGGGGAAUAUUGCACAAUGGGGGAAACCCUGAUGCAGCGACGCCGCGUGAGUGAAGAAGUAUUUCGGUAUGUAAAGCUCUAUCAGCAGGGAAGAAAAUGACGGUACCUGAUUAAGAAGCCCCGGCUAACUACGUGCCAGCAGCCGCGGUAAUACGUAGGGGGCAAGCGUUAUCCGGAUUUACUGGGUGUAAAGGGGGCGCAGACGGCAGCGCAAGCCAGGAGUGAAAGCCCGGGGCCCAACCCCGGGACUGCUCUUGGAACUGCGCGGCUGGAGUGCAGGAGGGGCAGGCGGAAUUCCUAGUGUAGCGGUGAAAUGCGUAGAUAUUAGGAGGAACACCAGUGGCGAAGGCGGCUUACUGGACGGCAACUGACGCUGAGGCUCGAAAGCGUGGGGAGCAAACAGGAUUAGAUACCCUCGUAUG
RNAcentral lists this ribosomal RNA (448 nucleotides) under uncultured bacterium. RNAcentral describes it as "partial 16S ribosomal RNA". It matches the Rfam family "Bacterial small subunit ribosomal RNA", at positions 329 to 793 of the family's 1533-position model. The record is from RNAcentral.